GCACUCAUAGUUUAAUGUAAAACAACGGUUCUCAUCAUCUUUUUCGUUAUGCAAGUUCGAGUCUUGCUGAGUGCA
Molecule: transfer RNA, 75 nt
Filed under: Caudoviricetes sp.
Lineage: Duplodnaviria; Heunggongvirae; Uroviricota; Caudoviricetes
Description: tRNA-Glu
Rfam family: tRNA
About the family: Transfer RNA (tRNA) molecules are approximately 80 nucleotides in length.
Source: RNAcentral